UUUAUUGAAAUGCCUAAAUUACCCUUCACUCCUUCGGUAGGAAAUCCAAGUUCAAAGUACUCCACUCACCACUCUUCAUGUUCUUCCCUCUCAGGCGACUCCAUAGCCUGCGUCACUGACCGGCGAUUCCACGGCCGACAGCCGGUGAUUUCAUUCUCGGUGAUCCAGUUAAACGUUUCAGUUUGCCAGUUACCCCAUUCAUUCGGACAGCGUUUCCUUUAUUCGGCUAGCGAUUCCAUUCUAUCGGGGCAUACGGAGUGGGGAGCGGCAAGCAGCGGCAAACAACUUUACCGUGCGGCAAACACCACCACCAACAUGCUUUGCCGCUUCCAAGUUUGCCAAAUCGGUGUUCGGUUACCGCGUCGGUGAAGGGAGUGUGUGUGUGGUGGGGUGGGGUCCAUUCCAAUCUCAACCAAUCACACCUUUUUCCUUUUUUUUCUAAAAAAUAGUUUACCACUUACCAAGUGUUUAAACCAUUGUCAACAUUUUUCACCAAAGUUUAAACACUUUUGCCUAAUUGACAUGGCGCGCUCUCAUUGGUCGGUUUUUUGGUUUGCCACUUUAAAGUGUUUAACCACUCCUUAUACCCUUAUUGUAUAAGACUUUGGCAAUAGUUUGUGGAAAAUGGAGUUUGUUUAA
Molecule: long non-coding RNA, 639 nt
Organism: Helianthus annuus (common sunflower)
Lineage: Eukaryota; Viridiplantae; Streptophyta; Magnoliopsida; Asterales; Asteraceae
Exons: 2
Source: RefSeq, a predicted model, not a curated record